Molecule: ribosomal RNA, 394 nt
Filed under: uncultured bacterium
Lineage: Bacteria
Description: bacterial SSU rRNA
Rfam family: Bacterial small subunit ribosomal RNA
Source: RNAcentral
ACUCCUACGGGAGGCAGCAGUGGGGAAUAUUGCACAAUGGGGGAAACCCUGAUGCAGCCAUGCCGCGUGUGUGAAGAAGGCCUUGGGUUGUAAAGCACUUUCAGUAGGGAGGAAGGUAGUGUAGUUAACACCUGCACUAUUUGUACGUUACCUACAGAAGAAGCACCGGCUAACUCCGUGCCAGCAGCCGCGGUAAGUACGGAGGGUGCGAGCGUUAAUACGGAAUUACGUGGGCGUAAAGCGCAUGCAGGCGGCCUGUUAAGUCAGAUGUGAAAGCCCGGGGCUUAACCUCGGAAUUGCAUUUGAAACUGGCAGGCUAGAGUCUUGUAGAGGGGUUAGAAUUUCAGGUGUAGCGGUGAAAUGCGUAGAGAUCUGAAGGAAUACCAGUGGCGAA